RNAcentral lists this ribosomal RNA (434 nucleotides) under Diderma spumarioides. Its description in RNAcentral is "SSU rRNA". It matches the Rfam family "Eukaryotic small subunit ribosomal RNA", at positions 1230 to 1644 of the family's 1831-position model. The record is from RNAcentral. Lineage: Eukaryota; Evosea; Eumycetozoa; Physariida; Didymiaceae.
ACACGCAUGACAGACACGCUGAAGGACUUUUCUGAAUGAUGUAAGUGGUGGUGCAUGGUCGUUCUUAGUUCGUGGAGUGGUUUGUCUGGUCUAUUCCGAUAACGAGCGAGACCCCGACGAUCUAACUAGGGGUGGCAGCCCGGCUUGUUGCUUUCACAGGCGACUCGCUAGCAGCCACCCACAAAGUCUACUUCUUAGACGCAUCAGAGCCGAUAAGGUUCUUUAAAAUGGGUUAAUAACAGGUCAGUGAUGCCCUUAGAUGUUCUGGGCCGCACGCGCGUUACACUGGCAUGCACAGAGAGUGCUCAAAAGGCGAAUCCAUCACCUAUUGGCCGUGGUACCCAGUAGUCCCUGCUAUGACUGGGACAGGCUCUUGGAAAUAUCGGUCUCAAACGAGGAAUUUUUAGUAGUCACAGGUCAUUAACCUGUGACGA